UCCCACAGGAAAUCCAAGGCUCCAAUCUCUCUGCAUCUCUCUGCAUGGCGUCUUGUCACUUAAGAGAGUCAACAGCCCCUCCCAGUUUGAGAUCAGCAGCAGCCUUGAACUGGGACAUUUAACUGCAGCAUCCCAAUCUUUGAAAAAUCCCCACCUUCUCCUCCAGCCGAGCUUCCAGCUGUCCCUCACUUGGUCAGUUCCCAUGAGGUGUCCCACAACAACACAGCGAGGCCCACAAGACCCUGCUGGCAGCCUGGCUGCCCUGAUUCAGACACAUUUUCCCUUCUUCCCACAGUUCUGCAGCUUGAACAAUGGGAAGGGGCCCUUGUUUGGUCAGCAGUGAAGUGUCAGACUGCACCUUGCUGGCUCAGUGCCCUUCCCAGGCUUCAGGAUUCAGGUGGGGAGGACAACUCAGCACAGGCAGGAGGAGAAAAGUCGAGCUGCACCCCUGGGGCACCCUUUGUGUAUUUGCAGAUUUCCUUUGUUCAGGGGCCUACAUGCUGUCCUUGUCACCUCAGGGGUGCUGCCAGCAUGGAGGCCUGGCCUUGUCAUUGUGCAGAUGAAAGAACUGCUGCCAAAACAAAAGGCAGAGAGAAUUCCUUCCUGGGUUUGGAGCCCCCUGGACAGGAUCCAUUCUACUGAGCAAGCAAGGCUGAACAGUCCCACAGCCCUAAACACAGCUGCAAAGUGUCCUUGUGCCCAUCACCCUCGAUCCAGCAGGGCUGCAGAGAGGACAAACUCUGACCUUUAAACCAAAAGGGACAAAACCUUGUACAGGGCCUGGCCUGGAAGGCCUGGAUGUGAUGGCCGCUCCCAGGGAGAGAGACCAGAGGCCCUGUGAGUAGAGACCAGGACUGUUCCCAGGAAACCAUGGCAAGGUGUCAGGAGCAGGCAUUAGAGACAGGGCCAGGGAGAUGUGAUGCAGGUGGCUGAGGGAGAGCAUCAUGGAGAUGUAGAAAUUGAAACUAGGAAACAGGAUUUCCUUUAUCUCUGACAACAUGAGCCUGCACGGAUGGAAGGCCUGCUGUGUCAUCACAGUGUUAGAAAUGAACUUUUAGAUACAAAUAAAUGGACACACAAAGUAGUGGAGGCAAAAGAAAUCUGUUUAUUAGUAACAAUUCACCUGAGCUGCAGGUAUGCCCUCUUUCCCCCAAGAGCCAAACACACACACCCUCCAAAACAAGCACUAUAUUUUAUCCCCUUUCCUGGCCAGGGGCAAUCCCUGUCCCCUUUCCCAUUGCCUGGGUACUUGAGAAUUUCUAUUCUCUCCUCACCGCCUACUUUUCUGUCCGCAUUCCUCUGAUCCUACUUCCUUUUUGGUCAGGUCUUUAACCUGGCUGCUUUCCCAGCUCACAGCAACACCCAACAAAUUAACUGGAGCAAAUCCAAACCAGAAAUAACAACACACAGAACCAACUUUCAUUGUUUUACCUAAUAACCUUUUGGGUUCAGCAAAAUAUUACCUCAUCUCUGACAACAGGGUAGAGGACUCUGAUGUCACCAACCUCUGGAUGAUGACAUCAGGCAUUGCUGGAUUGUGACCUCACCUUCUCUCCCUGCUUAUCUUGGGGUUCCAAGGAGUUUCAAUGCCUUUUGUGCUGUCACAGGGGUUGGAGGCUGGUGUCAGAGAGCAGUGGGCUGUGACAUCACAGAGGGAUGCAUUGUGACAUUGUGCCCCUCAAUUCCAAGGAAUACUUUUGAAAACUACUUCCCAAAGUGAAUCUUUCUCCAAGCAGAUGGACUGGCAAAACCCAUAAUCUGUGAGCAGAAGACAGGAAUAUUUUUGCCUGUUGGAAAAAUGCCAUAGCAAUGUGCUCUUGACUAGGCGCACUCUUGUCCUUACCAUAAAGAAAAGACACUGAACAAAAUGAAA
This is a long non-coding RNA of Passer domesticus (house sparrow), 1873 nucleotides long. RefSeq lists it as uncharacterized. The record is from RefSeq and is a predicted model, not a curated record. NCBI's taxonomy places the organism in Eukaryota, Metazoa, Chordata, Aves, Passeriformes, Passeridae. The transcript is spliced from 2 exons.